RNAcentral lists this long non-coding RNA (1403 nucleotides) under Salmo salar (Atlantic salmon). RNAcentral's name for it is "lncRNA (ENSSSAG00000086948.1)". Lineage: Eukaryota; Metazoa; Chordata; Actinopteri; Salmoniformes; Salmonidae. The record is from RNAcentral.
UCCAGGCUGUUUCACAUCCGGCCGUGAUUGGGAGGUCCAUUGGGCGGAGCACAAUUGGCCCAGCAUCGUCCGGGGGCCUGGCGGGAGGGGCUGGAGUUUACCCAACACCAACAGACGAAGCAUCACGUGACUCUGGCUGCUCUUUAAUCAACGGGCCCUCUGGGAAGAGAGAGAACGCUGUGAUGCAGCCGCACGUCUUCAUCUGCUGCCAGGACGCUCCAUACGGCUCCCUCCAUACGGCUCCCUCCGUCUGCGCUCGGCGUUAUUAAAGUUCUCCCCCCUCUCUCCCCCCAAUCCUCCCUCCUGGCUUGAGUGUAAUAAAAGAAGCAGGGAGACAGCCGUAUGAGGGGAGGGAGAGAGAGGCCCGGCUGCAGUAACCUUUGUAAAGUUCCAUCCAUCUACAGGUGUGGACCGAAGAAAGCAGGCCGUGGAGCGCUGGCUGCCAGCUGACAGGGACAGAAAGGGCAUGUCAGGAUGCUGCCUCCCUGUGAGAUGUCCAGUACUCAAAGUGAGCCUGCCGGCUCAGUCAGACAGACAGCAGAGGGACAACUGCCAUAUUAAGUGGAGACCUGGCUGGAGCCCUUCAGCAGAUGUAGAGGACUGAGGACGAGGCACAAGGCUCCCGAUAAAGAUGUUAGUCGUCUCGCAUGGAAUCCAAACUGAGAAGCUCAGUUGAAAUAAUGCUGAACCAGGAAGUUAGCAUUCCAGACUAGAAGUGGUCUUAGCUGGGCUGGGGAUACCUUUAUCUGAUGUGAUUGAUUGACAUGAGCUGUAUUAGGGAUACUGAGGUCCCAUUAUCUGUGCACAUCAUCCUCCCUUUGUCCUUUGUCUGGUCUGAGCCAGUCAACCAGGUCUGGUGUGGAUGUGUUCUAUCAGGAGGGUUGGGAUCUGCAAGCUCAGCUGCAAACUCCCAGAACCAACAUGGCCUACUCAUGUUUCCACUGUACAACGAGCUGGAUGGACCACCUGAGACUGUUGAGCAGAGAUACUCUGAUGGCAGACUGAUACAGACAGGAGGCUGGUGAGAUACUCUGAUGGCAGACUGAUACAGACAGGAGGCUAGUGAGAUUGAUUGCAGCCAGCUGCUGAUCUGUAGCCUGAACUCUAAACAGAGGAGCUGUGAAAAUGGUUCAAUAUUCUCCCUCCGCAAUGCCGAUCACCAACACACAGGUCUACUGUUUCCAUAGUAACCUUUCCUUCCUCUCUCUCUCUUCUUUAUUGAGUUAAGUCCUUUCAGAAGAACACAGGGGGGCAGGAAGAUGGAUAGACUGUCAGAAUGGGGAUAUUAGUACCUUUCUGUUGGUCUUUAAGCGAUGCACAUUUGCACAGUACAUUUUAUGCUGUGAGAUUAAGUUCUUCUGUACAUUCCUAAUACUGAUCAAAUGGUUUGCCUGGGAAAGUCC